AACGAACGCUGGCGGCAUGCCUAACACAUGCAAGUCGAACGAGAUCUUCGGGUCUAGUGGCGCACGGGUGCGUAACGCGUGGGAAUCUGCCCUUUGGUUCGGAAUAACAGUUGGAAACGACUGCUAAUACCGGAUGAUGACGAAAGUCCAAAGAUUUAUCGCCAGAGGAUGAGCCCGCGUAGGAUUAGCUAGUUGGUGUGGUAAAGGCGCACCAAGGCGACGAUCCUUAGCUGGUCUGAGAGGAUGAUCAGCCACACUGGGACUGAGACACGGCCCAGACUCCUACGGGAGGCAGCAGUGGGGAAUAUUGGACAAUGGGCGAAAGCCUGAUCCAGCAAUGCCGCGUGAGUGAUGAAGGCCUUAGGGUUGUAAAGCUCUUUUACCCGGGAUGAUAAUGACAGUACCGGGAGAAUAAGCUCCGGCUAACCCCGUGCCAGCCGCCGCCUAA
RNAcentral lists this ribosomal RNA (448 nucleotides) under uncultured bacterium. RNAcentral describes it as "partial 16S ribosomal RNA". It matches the Rfam family "Bacterial small subunit ribosomal RNA", at positions 29 to 522 of the family's 1533-position model. The record is from RNAcentral.